Molecule: non-coding RNA, 106 nt
Filed under: Eutreptiella gymnastica
Lineage: Eukaryota; Euglenozoa; Euglenophyceae; Eutreptiales; Eutreptiaceae
Source: RNAcentral
AAAAAAAAAAAAAAAAAAAAAAAAUCCCUGGUUGAGCUACACAGGUGCAGAGUUGUUGUUCUUUAACCAGAAGAUCGAGUGCGACAACCCUGAAGAAAUGUUGACC